Molecule: small RNA, 264 nt
Filed under: Saimiri boliviensis boliviensis (Bolivian squirrel monkey)
Lineage: Eukaryota; Metazoa; Chordata; Mammalia; Primates; Cebidae
Description: Metazoan signal recognition particle RNA (ENSSBOG00000013626.1)
Source: RNAcentral
GCCAGGCAUGGUGUGCAUGCCUGUAGUCCCAGCUACUCAGAAGGCUGAGGCAGGAGGAUUGCUUGAACCUGGGAGGUUGAGGUGGCAGUGAGCCAUGAUUGUGCCAUUGCACUCCAGCCUGGGCGAUACAGCAAGACUCUGAAUAAUAAUAAUAUAUAUUUUGUUGAGACAGAGUCUCACUUUAUUGCCCAGGCUGGAAUGCAGGGGUGCGAUCUCGGCUCACUGCAACCUCUGCCUCCCAGGUUGAAGCAAUUUUCUGCCUCA